AUUGAACGCUGGCGGCAGGCUUAACACAUGCCAGUCGAGCGGUAACAGAGAGAAGCUUGCUUCUCUGCUGACGAGCGGCGGACGGGUGAGUAAUGCCUAGGAAUCUGCCUAGUAGUGGGGGAUAACUUGCCGAAAGGUAAGCUAAUACCGCAUACGUCCUACGGGAGAAAGGAGGGGACCUUCGGGCCUUUCGCUAUUAGAUGAGCCUAGGUCGGAUUAGUUAGUUGGUGAGGUAAUGGCUCACCAAGACCGCGAUCCGUAACUGGUCUGAGAGGAUGAUCAGUCACACUGGAACUGAGACACGGUCCAGACUCCUACGGGAGGCAGCAGUGGGGAAUAUUGGGCAAUGGGGGGGAAACCUGAUCCAGCCAUGCCGCGUGUGUGAAGAAGGUCUUAGGAUUGUAAAGCACUUUAAGUUGGGAGGAAGAGCAGUUAACUAAUAUUUGACUGUUUUGACGUUACCGACAGAAUAAGCACCGGCUAACUUCGUG
RNAcentral lists this ribosomal RNA (491 nucleotides) under uncultured bacterium. Its description in RNAcentral is "partial 16S ribosomal RNA". It matches the Rfam family "Bacterial small subunit ribosomal RNA", at positions 30 to 507 of the family's 1533-position model. The record is from RNAcentral.